UCCGAACCUGCGGAGGGAUCAUUA
Molecule: ribosomal RNA, 24 nt
Filed under: Fusarium fujikuroi
Lineage: Eukaryota; Fungi; Ascomycota; Sordariomycetes; Hypocreales; Nectriaceae
Description: partial 18S ribosomal RNA
Source: RNAcentral